RNAcentral lists this unclassified non-coding RNA (2892 nucleotides) under Limulus polyphemus (Atlantic horseshoe crab). RNAcentral's name for it is "serine/arginine-rich splicing factor 2-like, transcript variant X2". The record is from RNAcentral. Lineage: Eukaryota; Metazoa; Arthropoda; Merostomata; Xiphosura; Limulidae.
CAGGUGCUCAUAAUAGUCAUAUGUGUUAGGGUGUUUUAUUCUUGUCGAAGAUUCGAUUUGAACGAGGUUAACGUAGAAUAUUAACAAACAUAAGGUGUUUAUUUUGUGCAAUUUUAACUUUUGGUCUGUAGUUGGUGAGAAAAGAUAUCUCAACAAAGAUGAGUUACGGUCGAAGAAGGCCUCCAGAAAUAGAUGGUAUGUCAUCUCUUAAAGUAGACAAUUUAACGUAUCGUACAACAGCAGAAGAUCUAAAACGCUUGUUUCAGAAAUAUGGCGAAAUUGGAGACGUAUAUAUACCGCGUCACCCAUAUACUCGUGAUAGUCGUGGUUUUGCUUUUGUUAGGUUUUAUGACAGACGAGAUGCAGAAGAUGCUAUGGAUGCUAUAGGCGGAUAUGUUUUGGAUGGUAGAGAAUUGAGAGUUCAUAUGGCUAAAUAUGGAAGGCCGAGUGAUCCAUGGCGAUGUAGUGGGUCACGCGGAAGCAGAAUGAGGGGCCGAGGACGUUCACGUUCAAGAAGUCGUCGGUCCAGGUCAAGAUCGAAGAGAUCACGUUCCAGGUCUAGAUCAAGAUAUUGUUCACGUCGAUAUAGUUCAAGAUCCAGAAGCACUUCACGAAGUCGUCGUCAGAAGUAUUCGAGUUCAAAGUCCCGGUCCAAAAGCCGUAGCCACAGCAAUGGUAAAUUUUCCCAAAAGAGUGAAAAUGGUCAUAGGAGGAAUCAAAGCAAAAGUGCAAGUCUCAGUCGAAGUAGGAGUCGUAGCCCUGUGCCAGACAAGAAUGAAGAGAAUAAAGAGGAUAACAACAGAAGUGAAGGUAGUAGGAGCCAGUCAAAGAGCCCAGAGAGAGAGAGACUUAAGUUUCGGUCUCGUUCCCGUUCUUGAAAGGGAUGGGUUAUUGUGAAUCAUCAUCAAGGGUUACUUGCAGUUGGAAUGGUCUGGUGGUGACCAGAGGCAGGUUACAUACGCAGUAAUAAGCAGUAGUUGCUGAGAAUGCUGUGGCAGUUGGGUCCAGUGUACCCGAGCUUGCUGUUCCGAUCCUGUUCCCGUUCCAGCAGAUUGCUGUUGGCAACCGCACCUGGCUCAUUCUUGCUAUGCUGAUUGGUUUUGAGGAGACAUACUGCAAGCUGAUUGGUAUAAAGAGCUGAGCUGGGUGGUUAUGCUGAUUGAAGAUUUUAAAACUUCUUGUUUUCCUUAGGAAAUUGGGAUUGAACUUCUGUCAGGAAUACGUUCAGAGAUGAUGAUAGACGAGGCGAAUUGAUGAUAAAAAAUUACAUCAUACAGUGUUUCGGGAAAAGAAUACCAGUGCAGAUGAUAUUACAGGAGUCACUCGGGAUGCUGUUUGAAAAAUGGGAAAUAGAUGUACAGUGGAACAGUGCACAAAGAUUGCUUCGUGUGAUUUUCUUUUCGUUAUACACUAGCAAAUGUUUUGUUGGAACACUGUACAGGUGUCUGUUAGGGAGAUGUCUGUAAGUAAAGCUUGUCUUUCUUUCUACUGUGACAUAACACAAUAGAUAUUUUUAUUUGUAUAUUUCACCAAAUGAAACUGGUUUUAUGUUUUGUGUGUACAUAAAUUACUUUUAUCUUGUUCAUCAGUUGUUGCUAGUCUAGUGGCAGCAUUACACCUGGAAACGACCUCGUAAACAUUUUGUGCUUGUUAUAGUUUUCACGCCAUAACUUUCAAAUUAGUAAGCGUAUGUUCACGAAAUUUGGCAGUUUAUCAGUAAGGUUUUUCAUAUGACAAAAAAAAAAAAAAUAAGUAAUGUAUAAUACUAAAAUAUGAAUUAUAAUCUAAAGUUUGAUACCAAACUUAUUGACAUAAAUUCAUAAAAUAGUAGUUCAAUAAAAUUUUAAACGUGAGGCAACAAAUGCAAUAAUAUGACCUUUGACUCGUGCAGAAAGGGUUAAUUGCACUUUGUACAAACAGUUUGGAUAUGUCACCAUAAAUGAAGGUUGUGACGCGUGUAACGGGUUAUAGCAUAUUUCUGGUGAUUUGACAGUACAGUUGAACCAUGGGUAAACUUGUGCCUGAAUAGUUAUAAAAAAUCCUUUCCAAAAAGAAAUAUUCAUGAGAAGUGUCAUCUUUCCCAAAAGCCUGUUACAGUGGGAAUUGUAGUUUUGGACAAUAGUGCCUAACCAUGGCCAUCAGAUUGACUACAAUCGAUAAUGAAAGAUGUAUUCAGUACGGGAUUCGAAACUUAGUUUUCCAGUAGGAAAAACUCAUCAUAUGUACCCAUUUUAAAUUGCAUUAUUAGUAUAAAUCUUAAGAUAUUUAAACUGGUUUCAUCAGUUGCAGAUUUACAAGUACCUUUUGUGUUAUGUUAUGGACCCCCCCACCCCAAAUAUCAUAGGUGUAUAAUCUACAUUUUUUUGUGCUUUGGCCACCACGUCCAGUAUCGAUGUAGAUAGCCGAUAUAAAUGCUUAGGGGGUAUUUAAGUCACUACACUGCAGAUAAUAAAAUUAAACAAGAAAACAUCAGAUAUAUUGAAUUUACUAACCAAUGAAUGGUAGGUGUAGUGAUGGCCUUUCAUUGAACGUUAAAACAUCAUGUACUUGUGUGUGAGAGAUGUUUCAAACACGCUUGGCCUUUUUUUUCGUUUGUUGAUAAAUGUCUAGUACUGACCACCAGGUGAUGUUAGGCAUGAAGAUGAAACUGGUAUAAAUUUAUGCCACUUUGUAUAUUUAAUACAUAUAUGCACUACCGAAGGAUAAAGAAUACCUCGUAGUGGCUCAGCAUUACGUUGGAGGAUUUCCAACAUUAAAAACUGAGUUUUGAUACCUGUGGUGGGCACAACACAGCCCAUUAUGUUGCUUAUAUGCUUAAUAACAAUGAUUGAAUGAAGGGCAAAAAAAAAUUUUUUUUUGGAAAAUGAAUAUUUUAUCUGGACUACCAUGGAC